UAGGGAAUCUUCCGCAAUGGACGAAAGUCUGACGGAGCAACGCCGCGUGAGUGAUGAAGGUUUUCGGAUCGUAAAGCUCUGUUGUUAGGGAAGAACAAGUGCCGUUCGAAUAGGGCGGCACCUUGACGGUACCUAACCAGAAAGCCACGGCUAACUACGUGCCAGCAGCCGCGGUAAUACGUAGGUGGCAAGCGUUGUCCGGAAUUAUUGGGCGUAAAGCGCGCGCAGGCGGUCUUUUAAGUCUGAUGUGAAAGCCCACGGCUCAACCGUGGAGGGUCAUUGGAAACUGGGAGACUUGAGUACAGAAGAGGAGAGUGGAAUUCCACGUGUAGCGGUGAAAUGCGUAGAUAUGUGGAGGAACACCAGUGGCGAAGGCGACUCUCUGGUCUGUAACUGACGCUGAGGCGCGAAAGCGUGGGGAGCAAACAGGAUUAGAUACCCUGGUAGUCCACGCCGUAAACGAUGAGUGCUAGGUGUUAGGGGUUUCGAUGCCCUUAGUGCCG
RNAcentral lists this ribosomal RNA (503 nucleotides) under uncultured Bacillota bacterium. RNAcentral's name for it is "bacterial SSU rRNA". It matches the Rfam family "Bacterial small subunit ribosomal RNA", at positions 355 to 848 of the family's 1533-position model. Lineage: Bacteria; Bacillati; Bacillota. The record is from RNAcentral.